This is a long non-coding RNA of Vespa velutina, 2089 nucleotides long. RefSeq lists it as uncharacterized. The record is from RefSeq and is a predicted model, not a curated record. The transcript is spliced from 5 exons. NCBI's taxonomy places the organism in Eukaryota, Metazoa, Arthropoda, Insecta, Hymenoptera, Vespidae.
ACACGUUUAAUCUUUAAUAAAAAGUAAUAUUUAUAUAUAGAUAUUUUUAUAUAUUAUAUUUUAUAUAUAUUUAUCUUUUAUUUAUAUAUUAUAUUUUAUAUAAAUAUAUAUAUAUAUAUAUAUAUAUAUACGUAAUAAUUUAUUGUUAUAUUUCACUUUUAUCAAUAAUCUUCAUAUGAAGAUUUAACAAAUUACAUAAGAAGUGAAAUAUCAAAACGAAAGAAGAUAUUCUCUUUGAUGUGAUUGAUUACAAGGAACAUCGUAAUCAUAGUUAAGAUAGUUGAAUUACCGGUACUUUUAUUUGACCGGUAUAUUCUCUCUGACCAGUGACAAAAAGUAGAUCGAGCAUAAUCAAAAAAAUGAUCGUUACGAAAAUAAGAAGAUCAAAGGAUCUCUCUAAAGGAUCUAAAGGAUUCCAGCAACUCUCGGACACCAGGACAUCAGGAUGAAAGAAGAGUAAACGAAAUAAAGAAAAAAAAAAAAAAAAAAAACAAAAACAAAAAUAUCUAGGAACAAAGAAUAGACAUGUCAACAAGAUUAGAAGAUAAAGAUAGUCAUUAUGAAGAUACUGUUGUUGAGAACAAUAACAACGAAGAUAAAGAAUACAAUCAAUAAUGAGAUUAGACAACGACGAAAUGUCGAGGGACAAAAAAAAUAAUAAUUGGGAUCAAAUGAAAGAUUAACAACGAUGAUGAAAUAGGACUGACGUACAUAUCUAAAGUUUCGUAAAAUUAACAGAGUAUGGAUAUGGAUAUGUAUUAUAACUGUUAGAACUAUAAUUGGGAGUAAAGGAGAAUUGAAGAUCCAUCCAUAGUUCCGAUGACGUAUCAAGUCAUCCCUUUGAUCCUGUAGGUCAUCAUUACGGGAGGAUGACACACAGGACGAUAUUGUAAUCAUGUGUUUAGUAACAAUAGUGGACGACAAGACCAUGUAGAUUGUAGAGACAUGUAUUAAAUAUUCCUGGCUCGUAAUGGACGAAGAGAUAGCGCGUCAUUACAUGCGCAGAACCGAUCCAACAAGGAAGACACGAAAAUAGAAGCGAACACUGGAUCAUACUCGUUAUACACAAAAAUGUUAUACACCGAACUAUUGAAUAAACUGAGAUGGAUAGAAACACCGAUGGGAUUCGACAAUUGUACAUUAUCAACCGUAUUGAUUAUCCAACAUCAUGAACGACGACAACAGGAAAUAAUGCACAGUAACUAGAUUAUAGAAGGUAACAUCAUCGAAGCGAAUGAUUUUCUGUUUUCCUGUUGUUCGAUGAUACUACUCUUUUCGAGAUAAAAUGACGUGCAAGGUAUGAAUGGGAGAAUGAAGGGGAAGGGGAAUGUAGAUCGUAAAACAGUUAAAUAAUAAUAAUGAAAUAAUAACAGUUAAAUAAUAACAUUCUAUAUCGAGAGAAUACAGGAUCGAUCGAACAGACAAAGCAGACAUAUUAAAUAUUAUAUCAUAUCGAGUCCUAAGUAAUCGUUAUAUUAUCAAGUAUCACCGGUAACUGAAGUUUCUAAACUACAUAAUUGUCGUUUAACAUAUACGGUCGGAUUUUAUCAGUUCGCUGGAAUACCAUUUUGACUUUCUAAUGCUGCCUGUCCCGUUUCAACGACUAUGUUUAAUGUAGUUUUAGAUAAUCUGGAGACUAUUACAAUUGUAUAUAUAUUUGAACGGUAUCAUUGCAACAUCGCAAAAAUAUCGAAAAAGGAAUAGAUAUCCUCUCUUUCUCUCUCUCUCUCUCUCUCUCUCUCUGUCUGUCUCAUACCGCGUUCCCUUUGUUACAUUAUACUACUCUACAUUGAAUUUCGGAUAAGUAAUGUAUAUACCAAUCGUAAUCAUCUAAAUUACAAUCGAGUUGCUAUUUGUAAUUAGAUUUUUAAAAUAAUGUUUUCUAAUUGUCCAUUUGCAAUUUGGGAUCUUUAUGUUAUUUUCUAUCUUUAGAAAAUUUUUCUAAUUUAUUGGCUAUCGAAGUGUUUUCUGUAUCACUGAAUGUUUAGACAAGUCCUAUUAUUAGAUAAACUCUUUUAAAAAAAAAUUUUAAGUCCCGUUGCAAAUGAUAUUUACAAAUUACUCUAAUCAUGGAAUAGUUAUUAUAAUU